This 661-nucleotide long non-coding RNA is filed under the name Homo sapiens (human). RNAcentral describes it as "LHRI_LNC2002.1". The record is from RNAcentral. Lineage: Eukaryota; Metazoa; Chordata; Mammalia; Primates; Hominidae.
CUGAACAAUCCAGUAAGAUUGUACUUCAGUACAAAUCCAUGGUCUCUGUACAGACCUAUUUUAUUUUAUUUAUUUUGAGACAGAGUCUCGCUCUUGUCCAGGCUGGAGUGCAGUGGUAUGAUCUCAGCUCACUGCAACCUCUGCCUCCCAGGUUCAAGCAAUUCUCCUGCCUCAGCCUCCCCAGUAGUUGGGACUACAGGUGCCUGCCACCAUGCCCAGUUAACUUUUGUAUUUUUAGUAGAGAUAGGGUUUCACCCACCAUGUUGGCCAGGCUGGUCUCGAACUCCUGACCUCAGGUGAUCUGCUGGUCUCAGCCUCCUAAAGUGCUGGGAUUACAGGGAUGAGCCACCGUCCCCAGCCUCUUUUAUUUUUAAAAUGAGCCAAAGAUGAGGCCAGCCGAGGCUAAAUGCUACAAGCAACUACUCUGAGCCUACACGCCAUGUCUGAUGAAGUAAUGAAAGGACCAUAAACCCAAGGGAAUGUUUGCUGUGUCAAAUCACAGCUUAGUAACCUAGAAAAGAGGCUCUGUCCCUUCCUCUAGGGAAUCUGAUGUUUACAAAGGAAGACACCAUGGCACCUCAAAUGACAUCCUUUCAUAUUGUGAAGAUGGGAUAAAGAGACUUCACUGUAUUCCACUGCAGACUUAUCCAUAUGACAUGAC